GUGGGAGGAUAGCUUGAGCCCGGGAGGUUGAGGCUCCAGUGAGCUGAGAUCAUGCCACUGCACUCCAGCCUGAGUGACAGAGCAAGACCCUGUCUC
MicroRNA precursor from Cercocebus atys (sooty mangabey), 96 nucleotides. NCBI's taxonomy places the organism in Eukaryota, Metazoa, Chordata, Mammalia, Primates, Cercopithecidae. The record is from Ensembl.